AUGGUACUGCCCGGUGCGUCAGGUUUCUUUGAUCCUUGGGCCGAUAAUGCAUUGCACGGGAGCUGUCCCUGUCCCUGACCCAGGUUUCGGAUAUUACGGCGCCCACCUUUACUUAAGGGCCGCAUGCGACAUGACAACCAACGGCCAGGGCGGUCCAUUC
RNAcentral lists this non-coding RNA (160 nucleotides) under Alphaproteobacteria bacterium. RNAcentral describes it as "6S RNA". It matches the Rfam family "6S / SsrS RNA". From Rfam's summary of the family: E. coli 6S RNA was the first non coding RNA to be sequenced, but its function was unknown until recently. It consists of 184 nucleotides that fold into an extended hairpin structure with a large single-stranded internal bulge. The record is from RNAcentral. Lineage: Bacteria; Pseudomonadati; Pseudomonadota; Alphaproteobacteria.